ACGCUCGACACCUACGGGAGCAGCAGUGGGGAAUAUUGCACAAUGGGGGAAACCCUGAUGCAGCGACGCCGCGUGAGCGAAGAAGUAUUUCGGUAUGUAAAGCUCUAUCAGCAGGGAAGAAAAUGACGGUACUUGACUAAGAAGCCCCGGCUAACUACGUGUCAGCAGCCGCGGUAAUCUGAGCGGGCUGGCAAGGC
RNAcentral lists this ribosomal RNA (197 nucleotides) under uncultured bacterium. RNAcentral's name for it is "partial 16S ribosomal RNA". It matches the Rfam family "Bacterial small subunit ribosomal RNA", at positions 328 to 539 of the family's 1533-position model. The record is from RNAcentral.